RNAcentral lists this ribosomal RNA (233 nucleotides) under uncultured bacterium. RNAcentral's name for it is "partial 16S ribosomal RNA". It matches the Rfam family "Bacterial small subunit ribosomal RNA", at positions 99 to 334 of the family's 1533-position model. The record is from RNAcentral.
CGCGCGGGUGAGUAAUAUAUAGGUAACGUGCCCUAGAGAGGGGGAUAACAUUUGGAAACGAAUGCUAAUACCCCAUAUGCCUUUAAGUCUUAAGACUGCAAGGGAAAUAUUUAUAGCUCUAGGAUCGGCCUGUACGGUAUCAGUUUGUUGGUGAGGUAAUGGCUCACCAAAACUAUGACGCCUAACUGGUUUGAGAGGAUGAUCAGUCACACUGGAACUGAGACACGGUCCAG